UGUGGGUAAGUUCUCCAAAUAUUUACUGUUAAGUGCGUGAGAUUAAAGAAGGUAGGAGGCCACUGGCACAGAAUGAGAAAGUGCCCAUCCAUCCAACAACAUGACCGAUGGGUUAUAGAAGGCGAGUCCAGCCACCAGAGUACCUCUGGGUACCACUCAUUCACACUCAAUCUCAAAUGAUGAGCUGUGCGUUGAACAGCAGGCAGUGAGCUGUAAAAAGAGCAGCAGCCCGAGAGGUCAGGGCCUGGCACCCGGCCUGCCUUGUGGUGGGAAUUUGGAUAAAUCCAUAUCUCGGGCUUCAUUUUCCUCAUCUGUAACCCAAGGUGAGCCUGGUUUCUUAUUCUCUUGUGCUUAGCAUGCAAAGUAAACUAACUAGCCUCAGGAACGUUGGCUGCAGCCCUCCCCAGAUCAACCCAGGAGUCUCACCUGACCUCAUCCCGGAUCUACUCGAUCUCCAGUUCUUACACCUGAGGCUCACGAGACCUACUUUCUAAGGGAAAGCACCUUUCUAAGAACUGGAGAGAAAGACACCUUCCCCGCCAUAAGUGUCUCACCCAGGUGAGGAGGAGGACAACAAUUA
Molecule: long non-coding RNA, 580 nt
Organism: Equus quagga
Lineage: Eukaryota; Metazoa; Chordata; Mammalia; Perissodactyla; Equidae
Exons: 2
Source: RefSeq, a predicted model, not a curated record